Non-coding RNA from Takifugu rubripes (torafugu), 109 nucleotides. The record is from Rfam. Lineage: Eukaryota; Metazoa; Chordata; Actinopteri; Tetraodontiformes; Tetraodontidae.
GCUUAUGGCCAUACCACCCUGAGAACGUCUGAUCAUGGAAGCUAAGUAGGGUCAGGUCUGGUUAGUACUUGGAUGAGAGAUCGCCUGGGAAUACCAGGUGCUCUAAGCU